UGGUUAAAAAGCUCGUAGUUGGAUCUCGGCGGUCUGAGGGCGGUUCGCUUGAUUGAGUGCUACUGCUCUAUAGGCCGUGGUUUUGCCAGAGGUCUCGGGGUGCUCUUAACCGAGUGUCCUGCGAUGCUGGCAGGUUUACUUUGAAAAAAUUAGAGUGCUCAAAGCAGGCUUUUACGCCUGAAUAUUCGUGCAUGGAAUAAUAGAAUAGGAAGUCGUUUCUAUUUUGUUGGUUUUCGGAAAUCGACUUAAUGAUUAAUAGGGACAGUCGGGGGCAUUUGUAUUCAAACGACAGAGGUGAAAUUCUUGGACCGUUUGAAGACAAACUACUGCGAAAGCAUUUGCCAAGAAUGUUUUCAUUAAUCAAGAACGAAAGUUAGAGGUUCGAAGGCGAUUAGAUACCGCCCUAGUUCUAACCAUAAACGAUGCCAGCUAGCGAUCUGCCGACGUUUUCUUUGUAGACUCGGCAGGAAGCUUCCGGGAAACCAAAGCAUUUGGGUUCCAGGGGAAGCAUGGUUGCAAAGCUGAAACUUAAAGGAAUUGACGGAAGGGCACCACCAGGAGUGGAGCCUGUGGCUUAAUUUGACUCAACACGGGAAAUCUCACCAGGCCCGGACACUGGAAGGAUUGACAGA
Molecule: ribosomal RNA, 632 nt
Filed under: uncultured marine eukaryote
Lineage: Eukaryota
Description: SSU rRNA
Rfam family: Eukaryotic small subunit ribosomal RNA
Source: RNAcentral